UUGUAUAUGAUGAACUUACUUGGAUUCCCCUUCAGGACAUCAAAUUGGAUGAUGCAAAUACUAGUUUUACG
RNAcentral lists this small nucleolar RNA (71 nucleotides) under Leersia perrieri. RNAcentral's name for it is "snoRNA snoR60". It matches the Rfam family "Small nucleolar RNA snoR60". Rfam says of the family: snoR60 is a member of the C/D class of snoRNA which contain the C (UGAUGA) and D (CUGA) box motifs. Most of the members of the box C/D family function in directing site-specific 2'-O-methylation of substrate RNAs. Lineage: Eukaryota; Viridiplantae; Streptophyta; Magnoliopsida; Poales; Poaceae. The record is from Rfam by way of RNAcentral.